This 446-nucleotide ribosomal RNA is filed under the name uncultured bacterium. Its description in RNAcentral is "partial 16S ribosomal RNA". It matches the Rfam family "Bacterial small subunit ribosomal RNA", at positions 338 to 795 of the family's 1533-position model. The record is from RNAcentral.
CCUACGGGGGGCAGCAGUCGAGAAUCAUUCACAAUGGGGGAAACCCUGAUGGUGCGACGCCGCGUGGGGGAAUGAAGGUCUUCGGAUUGUAAACCCCUGUCAUGUGGGAGCAAAUUAAAAAGAUAGUACCACAAGAGGAAGAGACGGCUAACUCUGUGCCAGCAGCCGCGGUAAUACAGAGGUCUCAAGCGUUUUUCGGAAUCACUGGGCGUAAAGCGUGCGUAGGCUGUUUCGUAAGUCGUGUGUGAAAGGCGCGGGCUCAACCCGCGGACGGCACAUGAUACUGCGAGACUAGAGUAAGGGAGGGGGAACCGGAAUUCUCGGUGUAGCAGUGAAAUGCGUAGAUAUCGAGAGGAACACUCGUGGCGAAGGCGGGUUCCUGGACAUUAACUGACGCUGAGGCACGAAGGCCAGGGGAGCGAAAGGGAUUAGAUACCCGAGUAGUC